UACGCUGGCGGCACGCCUAACACAUGCAAGUCGAACGAAGUAGCAAUACUUAGUGGCAGACGGGUGAGUAACAUGUAGGUAUCUGCCCUUUGGCCUGGAAUAACACGAGGAAACUUGUGCUAAUACCGGAUAAGUCUUUACGGAGAAAGCUUUAUGCACCAUUGGAUGAGCCUGCACUUGAUUAGUUUGUUGGUGGGGUAACGGCCUACCAAGACUGUGAUCAAUAGCUGAUUUGAGAGGAUGAUCAGCCACAUUGGGACUGAGACACGGCCCAAACUCCUACGGGAGGCAGCAGUGGGGAAUCUUGCACAAUGGAGGAAACUCUGAUGCAGCGAUGCCGCGUGAGUGAAGAAGGCCUUUGGGUUGUAAAGCUCUUUCGUCGGGGAAGAAAAUGACUGUACCCGAAUAAGAAGGUCCGG
RNAcentral lists this ribosomal RNA (419 nucleotides) under uncultured bacterium. Its description in RNAcentral is "bacterial SSU rRNA". It matches the Rfam family "Bacterial small subunit ribosomal RNA", at positions 33 to 496 of the family's 1533-position model. The record is from RNAcentral.